Molecule: ribosomal RNA, 303 nt
Filed under: uncultured bacterium
Lineage: Bacteria
Description: partial 16S ribosomal RNA
Rfam family: Bacterial small subunit ribosomal RNA
Source: RNAcentral
AGCAGUAGCCACGGUAAUACGAAGGGUGCAAGCGUUAAUCGGAAUUACUGGGCGUAAAGCGUGCGUAGGCGGUGAGUUAAGUCUGCUGUGAAAUCCCCGGGCUCAACCUGGGAAUGGCAGUGGAUACUGGCUCGCUAGAGUGUGUCAGAGGAUGGUGGAAUUCCCGGUGUAGCGGUGAAAUGCGUAGAGAUCGGGAGGAACAUCAGUGGCGAAGGCGGCCAUCUGGGACAACAUUGACGCUGAGGCACGAAAGCGUGGGGAGCAAACAGGAUUAGAUACCCCUGUAGUCCCUGUCUCUUAUAC